AGUUAUCAUCCUUGUAAGCUUUGAUUGAAACUAUUUGUAUUAAUCAGUAUCUUACCAUAUAUAUGAGUAUAUGAGAAAUCAAAUUGAAAACGGAGAAGUACAGGAAAUGAAGAAACAGAGUGACUCAGAUAUCAGCAACACAGGAAAUGUACCAUGAGAGACACAAGGGAGCAAGGGAGGGGUAUUUUUAUGGGACUAUAGGGCUGGGGAAUUUGAAACUCCAGUUGGCCUCUCUUGCCAUGAAGUCAUGCUAGAGACACAGCCCAAGGGAGAAACAGAUGGUGUUUCCCUUGUAUAGGGGACCCUAGAAGAUGUUAUAUACCAAGAAAACUCACUACACUGCCAGCCUUUAGAGAAGAAAUUGAAAAUACAUAUUCAGCAAUCUCAAUGACCAAAGUUACCCAAGCAGCAGUUGGUUAUACUAAUAAAUGUCUGGAAGAUAAUGGCCAUCACUUUGAGCACCUCUUGUAAUUGUAGAGGCCAAACAUAACUUGUAUCUCAUAAUACCUCAAUAAAUUUAGUAUUAAAAUAUUUAUAUGUUUUUAUUUUCCUUAAAUGUGUAUACAUGUUUUUGGCAGACUCUGUACAUAUAUAGAACCCUCCUGCCUUAAGAACUUCCUUGUUCCUGUCUGCCACACUAUGAACUGUUUCUCCUCUGCUAUGUCCAUCUGGCACAUUCCCCUGCCUUGGAG
This is a long non-coding RNA of Heterocephalus glaber (naked mole-rat), 692 nucleotides long. Lineage: Eukaryota; Metazoa; Chordata; Mammalia; Rodentia; Bathyergidae. The record is from Ensembl.